Molecule: RNA transcript, 2960 nt
Organism: Syzygium oleosum
Lineage: Eukaryota; Viridiplantae; Streptophyta; Magnoliopsida; Myrtales; Myrtaceae
Gene name: ubiquitin carboxyl-terminal hydrolase 25
Exons: 10
Source: RefSeq, a predicted model, not a curated record
ACCCCCCUAAAGCCUGGAGGCGAGGCGAAGGAAAGACCCACUGUUUCGUCUCUCUUUCCAAAGGCUUUGAGAAAGAGCGCUGUCUGUCUCGACGGCGACGGCGACGAGGACGGCGACGAGGGCCGACGGGAGCGAUGCGAGCGCGAUCGCGGCCGCGAUCGGCGAUUAGAGCGAGCGGCCUGCGCGGGGCGCCGCCGUGCAAUGCGCGUGCGAGGGCGGAGGAGGCAGACGGAGAAGGUCGUUGAUGGCCUUGCACCACCACCGGUUGCAGAUGAGCUGGCAACCGAGCCUGCUGAGCCUCAAGCGCAAGACCGGUCCCCCUCUCGGCCUCAGGAACCUCGGCAACUCCUGCUACCUCAACAGCGUCCUCCAGUGCCUCACUUACACCCCUCCCCUCGCCAAUUUCUGCCUCAAGAACCUCCACUCCUCCCUAUGCGAUUCGGGUGCGGAUGUGGAGCGGAAGCGAGAUUGUCCUUUCUGUUUACUAGAGAAGCGGAUAGCGCGAUCUCUGAGAUUAGAUCAACCCCAAGAUGCGCCGGCGAAGAUCCAGGGCUGCUUGCGCCUGUACGCCGAGCACUUCCGGUGUGGUCGCCAGGAGGACGCGCACGAGUUCCUCCGUUACGUGAUCGAUGCUUGCCACAACACCUGUCUCCGCCUCAAGAAGCUGCGGCAGCAGCAGCGCAACGGCGCCGAGGCACCCAACUGUGGUGAUUCCGUUGUUAAGGAGAUUUUUGGCGGCGCGCUGCAGAGUCAGGUCAAGUGUUUGUCUUGCGGAGCGGAAUCCAACAAGGUUGAUGAUAUUAUGGAUAUUAGUCUAGAUGUCUUGCAAAGUAGUUCACUUAAGGAAGCGUUGCACAAAUUUUUCCAGCCAGAAGUUUUGGAUGGCAACAAUAAGUACAAGUGUGAGAAUUGCAAGAAAUUGGUUGUGGCUAGGAAGCAAAUGUCGGUCUUUCAAGCACCUAAUGUUCUUGUAAUCCAGUUUAAGAGGUUCGAAGGUAUAUAUGGUGGGAAGAUCGAUAAGGCUAUUUCGUUUGAAGAAGUUUUGGUGCUUUCAAGCUUCAUGUGCAAAGAAAGCCAGGAUUCGUCACCGGAGUAUAAUCUUUUUGGUACUAUUGUGCAUGCAGGCUGCUCACCAGACUCAGGACACUAUUAUGCUUAUAUAAAGGACGCAGUGGGCCGGUGGUAUUGCUGUGACGAUGCAAGUGUUUCUCUGGCCACUUUGGAUGAGGUCUUAUCAGAAAAGGUCUAUAUCCUGUUUUUCUCUCGCACCAAACAAAGGUCAACAUCUGCCAAUGCAGCUCCUGCUGCCAAUGGAGUAAAAUCUCGUGAUUUGAAUGGCACCAAAGCAUCUAAGAAGCAGUCUUCUGCUCUUCCAUCAAAACCGGCACAAUUAAAACCAUUCACUGAAAAUUCUUCAUGGAAGGAUGUUUCUGCCUCAUCCAAUGGUGAUAAAGUAUCUUCCUGUCCGCGGAUGAAGUUCAGCAUUGCUGGAAAUAUUGGUUCCAAAAGAGUUCCUGCAGUUAGCAAUGGAAAGGUGCACGCACUUAAGAAUCAAUUGGGGGAAAAUAACGGGGAUAUAAAAGGGCCAGCUCCUGUUAACAAGAGUGACAGAGAUCUUUCAACUUCAAUAAACAGGAAUGAUAUUGACAAAGAGAAUAAGAACACCUCCAAUGGGAGGACCCAAGUAAUUGCGCAUUCAAAUCACAACAAUUUGAAAGUCAGCGAUCUUAAUGGUGACAAGGGUCAAGUUCAUUCUUCCCACAAUGGAAAUGGUACCACCGUUGGUACUGCUGGCCCCUGUUCAGUUAAAUCACAUCUCCAUGAGAGGGAUGGUACAACGCACGUCUUAGGAAAAGGGGGAGGGUCUAACCAGCAUGAAUUGCAAAAUGGUAGUUCUAAUCACCUCUCUGAUGUAGCGAAGUCCAAGAGGAAGCUGCAGGAUGACUCCUGCAUAUUGCUGGCACAGGAUGCUCAAUCGCAGGCCAAAGUUGAAGAGCUGAAAGAAAUACUCAAGAAUGAAGCUUCCUCUGUAUUGCGAUCAUGUGGCUGGGCGGAUGACGUUUACGCUGUCAUGCGCACGAAGAAGAAAAUGUGCGCGAGCAAAGCAGACGAGAGUUCACUAAAUUUUGACCAUUUGAGGAAGCUGUUGAUUGCGGAUGCCAAACCAACCUUUAACUCACAAAUUCCAGAAUCAUUGAAAGAGAAAUUAAUUGGACGUCUCCGAUCAUUUAGCCAGGAAAAAGGAUCAUAGCCAUGCCUGGAUCCAUGCGUUAUAUGACAUGAGGAGGCAGUUUUAUGUCCACAGGAUUAUGCACGAACUGAGAGCUUUUAAGACCUGAUACAAUUGGUGUAGUUGGUACUGUUAUGUUCAUGGGAAGCGAUGGCCUCACAGUUUUCUGCCAGUGGGCCUCCUCUAUAAACCGGAUGGUGCCCUGUAACUGCUAUAUGUCGGUAGGACAACAGAUUUACCCUGGCAUUGUGAAAGUGUUUCUCGAUUGACUACCGAGCGAUUUGGAGGUAUCCCCCACGGAUAGCAUUAGAUGGACAAGCAAACGGUCCCACUUUCAAGCUACAAAGAAAUCAACAACUCUCCAAUGCAAAGAAGUCGAGUCAAUUCCGAUGCAAGAACAAUGGUUGUUAUGUAGAUACAAUGCAUUUCCGGAUGAAGUGAUGAAGCGUUUCUCUUCCGGAAGGAUCAGGAACUGAUAUGAAAGUAGAAAGUAAGAAUAAGAAACAUACCAGAAGGGAAAUUGCCGACCGGAUUAUACGUUCCCUGAUUUGGCAAGGAAGGACCCUAAGUCCCACCCACCACUUCAUUAUUCUCGACAGCUUCUGCGUUUUAAUUCAUCGGUUGUUGUAAUCUUAACUUUCCAGUGAAGUUGUGAAGUUCAUUUUGUUCAACCUGAACAUAUGGUGAGCAAGUACAUGUUCCAACUUUAAUCAGAAGUUAUCUUCAGUCA